Long non-coding RNA from Eptesicus fuscus (big brown bat), 399 nucleotides. RefSeq lists it as uncharacterized. The record is from RefSeq and is a predicted model, not a curated record. Lineage: Eukaryota; Metazoa; Chordata; Mammalia; Chiroptera; Vespertilionidae. The transcript has 3 exons.
CACCAGCCAGGCAAGUAACUUACUGGAACUAGAAGAGAAGAGAAGAAUGCACUCAUUAAAGCCAUUGGCCAAAAGCCGGUCCCGCAGCUGCUGAAGAAUUGCUACUCCGAUACAGAACGGGAAAGAGGAAUUUCCAAGUAGCAAGUGCUUAACAAAUGCCAGUGGAGCAAAAAUUUUAAAGUAUUGAAGACUCGAAAACCUAUCAACUUCGAAUUGUAUGCCCAGCAAAAUAUCUUUCAGAGACAAAGGUAAAAUAAAGGCUCCUACACAUAAAUGGAAAGAAUUCAUCACCAGCAGUUCUGCACUACUAGAAAUGCUGAAGAAAGUACUUCAGGCAGAAAGAAAUGAUAUGAGAUAAAAAUCUGGAUCUACAUAGAAGAAUGAAGAGAUUCAAGAAUU